This 469-nucleotide ribosomal RNA is filed under the name uncultured bacterium. Its description in RNAcentral is "bacterial SSU rRNA". It matches the Rfam family "Bacterial small subunit ribosomal RNA", at positions 335 to 802 of the family's 1533-position model. The record is from RNAcentral.
ACUCCUACGGGAGGCAGCAGUGGGGAAUAUUGCACAAUGGGCGCAAGCCUGAUGCAGCCAUGCCGCGUGUGUGAAGAAGGCCUUCGGGUUGUAAAGCACUUUCAGUCGUGAGGAAGGUAGUGUAGUUAAUAGCUGCAUUAUUUGACGUUAGCGACAGAAGAAGCACCGGCUAACUCCGUGCCAGCAGCCGCGGUAAUACGGAGGUGCGAGCGUUAAUCGGAAUUACUGGGCGUAAAGCGCAUGCAGGUGGUUGUUAAGUCAGAUGUGAAAGCCCGGGGCUCAACCUCGGAAUAGCAUUUGAAACUGGCAGACUAGAGUACUGUAGAGGGGGUAGAAUUUCAGGUGUAGCGGUGAAAUGCGUAGAGAUCGUGAAGGAUACCGGUGGCGAAGGCGGCCCCUGGACAGAUACUGACACUCAGAUGCGAAAGCGUGGGAGCAAACAGGAUUAGAUACCCCUGGUAGACUGUCA